GAUCAUGGCUCAGGAUGAACGCUAGCGACAGGCUUAACACAUGCAAGUCGAGGGGCAUCAUGAGGUAGCAAUACCUUGAUGGCGACCGACGCACGGGUGAGUAACGCGUAUGCAACCUGCCCGAUACCGGGGUAUAGCCCAUGGAAACGUGGAUUAACACCCCAUAGUACUUUUAUCCUGCCUGGGAUGUGAGUUAAAUGUUCAAGGUAUCGGAUGGGCAUGCGUCCUAUUAGUUAGUUGGG
This 242-nucleotide ribosomal RNA is filed under the name uncultured bacterium. Its description in RNAcentral is "partial 16S ribosomal RNA". It matches the Rfam family "Bacterial small subunit ribosomal RNA", at positions 15 to 253 of the family's 1533-position model. The record is from RNAcentral.